RNAcentral lists this ribosomal RNA (301 nucleotides) under uncultured bacterium. RNAcentral describes it as "partial 16S ribosomal RNA". It matches the Rfam family "Bacterial small subunit ribosomal RNA", at positions 509 to 807 of the family's 1533-position model. The record is from RNAcentral.
CAGUCGCCGCGGGAAUACGAAGGGUGCAAGCGUUACUCGGAAUUACUGGGCGUAAAGCGUGCGUAGGUGGUGGUUUAAGUCCGUUGUGAAAGCCCUGGGCUCAACCUGGGAAUUGCAGUGGAUACUGGGUCACUAGAGUGUGGUAGAGGAUAGUGGAAUUUCCGGUGUAGCAGUGAAAUGCGUAGAGAUCGGAAGGAACAUCUGUGGCGAAGGCGACUAUCUGGGCCAACACUGACACUGAGGCACGAAAGCGUGGGGAGCAAACAGGAUUAGAUACCCCCGUAGUCCCUGUCUAUUAUAC